AUCUAUCAAGCUAGGAUGCUUUUUAUGCCUCCUGGUUUGGUUUAUUGGGCUUUGCCGUGUCCUUCACCGGGAAAUGGCUGGCCUUAAAAGUAUUAGCUGACUCAUGUGGGGUUGGUUUUUCUACUUGGCGUGAUAAUAAUCUGACCGCUGAGGAAGCAUCCCCUCUGGGGGUGGCCAAUUUUCAUGUGGGUUGCUCCUAAUCUUCUGGGGCUUGUAAAGUUCCAUCUUCAA
RNAcentral lists this unclassified non-coding RNA (231 nucleotides) under uncultured Clavulina. RNAcentral describes it as "sequence contains ITS2". Lineage: Eukaryota; Fungi; Basidiomycota; Agaricomycetes; Cantharellales; Hydnaceae. RNAcentral also lists the same sequence under 1 other name. The record is from RNAcentral.